Molecule: ribosomal RNA, 520 nt
Filed under: uncultured Glomus
Lineage: Eukaryota; Fungi; Glomeromycota; Glomeromycetes; Glomerales; Glomeraceae
Description: SSU rRNA
Rfam family: Eukaryotic small subunit ribosomal RNA
Source: RNAcentral
AGCAGCCGCGGUAAUUCCAGCUCCAAUAGCGUAUAUUAAAGUUGUUGCAGUUAAAAAGCUCGUAGUUGAAUUUCGGGGUUAGUAGGUUGGUCGUGCCAAUGGUAUGCACUGGCCUCACUGAUUCCUCCUUCUUGAUGAACCUUAAUGCCAUUAAUUUGGUGUUUUGGGGAAUCUGGACUGUUACUUUGAAAAAAUUAGAGUGUUUAAAGCAAGCUAACGCUUGAAUACAUUAGCAUGGAAUAAUGAAAUAGGACGUUCGGUCUUAUUUUGUUGGUUUCUAGGAUCGACGUAAUGAUUAAUAGGGAUAGUUGGGGGCAUUAGUAUUCAAUUGUCAGAGGUGAAAUUCUUGGAUUUAUUGAAGACUAACUACUGCGAAAGCAUUUGCCAAGGAUGUUUUCAUUAAUCAAGAACGAAAGUUAGGGGAUCGAAGACGAUCAGAUACCGUCGUAGUCUUAACCAUAACUAUGCCGACUAGGGAUCGGAUGAUGUUAAUUUUUAAUGACUCAUUCGGCGCCUUACG